Pelobates cultripes (western spadefoot toad) is the source of this 809-nucleotide non-coding RNA. NCBI's taxonomy places the organism in Eukaryota, Metazoa, Chordata, Amphibia, Anura, Pelobatidae. The record is from the annotation of a GenBank genome assembly.
AUUCUAUGAAAACUGAUGGUUUUAGGCCUUCAGAGGCUACACCACCUAUAUCAGGGUACUGACAUGGUCACAUUUGACGAUCUCAAGCAGGGCAGGCAUCUGAUACCGGCAGACUUUUCCCGCUAUCUACAGAUCAGGGACUUCGCUGCCCAACCUCAUAUUAGGGAAACAGCGAUACAUCCCCUAACCUUUUUCGAACGCAUAUGCACCUCAGAAAACAUACCCAGAGGACUGAUCUCAACACUAUAUACACACUUCUGCACGGAGACGGGGGAAUGGGGGUGACUGGCCUACACUGAAAAGUGGGAGAAGGAUCUGGGAGAAGAGCUAGAGGGGGUAGAAUGGCAGGAGAUAUGGGAGGCGAACAACACAUCCUCAGUCUGUGUAAUUCACCAGGAACAGGCAUUUAAAACAAUGUUUCGCUGGUAUACAACGCCAGUAACCCUGUACAAAAUGCACAAAACCACGACAGACUUAUGCUGGAGAGGCUGCGGAGCCAGGGGAACGUACCUCCACAUGUGGUGGGAAUGCCCCGGCGCAAUCCCGUUUUGGGCAGCAGUGCACAAUCUGGUGAGACAGGUGUUCUCUAGGACGCCCGCGUUGGAACCAUGGGUAUAUCUCCUGAGCAGGUCGAUAGAGGGAUGGACGCGAAGGGAGCAAAUGCUGCUCCAUAAGAUCACGCUAGCCGCAUGACAGGCAAUGGCCUUUACAUGGCUACAGUGGGACCUACCACAAAUAUCAAGCGUGAUAGGAUAAAAGACAUCCAGGUGAUGGAUGACCUUACCGCUAGGGUCAGGGGCACCACCAAG